Molecule: ribosomal RNA, 766 nt
Filed under: uncultured bacterium
Lineage: Bacteria
Description: bacterial SSU rRNA
Rfam family: Bacterial small subunit ribosomal RNA
Source: RNAcentral
CUUGCUUCUCUUGAGAGCGGCGGACGGGUGAGUAAUGCCUAGGAAUCUGCCUGGUAGUGGGGGAUAACGUUCGGAAACGGACGCUAAUACCGCAUACGUCCUACGGGAGAAAGCAGGGGACCUUCGGGCCUUGCGCUAUCAGAUGAGCCUAGGUCGGAUUAGCUAGUUGGUGGGGUAAUGGCUCACCAAGGCGACGAUCCGUAACUGGUCUGAGAGGAUGAUCAGUCACACUGGAACUGAGACACGGUCCAGACUCCUACGGGAGGCAGCAGUGGGGAAUAUUGGACAAUGGGCGAAAGCCUGAUCCAGCCAUGCCGCGUGUGUGAAGAAGGUCUUCGGAUUGUAAAGCACUUUAAGUUGGGAGGAAGGGUUGUAGAUUAAUACUCUGCAAUUUUGACGUUACCGACAGAAUAAGCACCGGCUAACUCUGUGCCAGCAGCCGCGGUAAUACAGAGGGUGCAAGCGUUAAUCGGAAUUACUGGGCGUAAAGCGCGCGUAGGUGGUUUGUUAAGUUGGAUGUGAAAUCCCCGGGCUCAACCUGGGAACUGCAUUCAAAACUGACUGACUAGAGUAUGGUAGAGGGUGGUGGAAUUUCCUGUGUAGCGGUGAAAUGCGUAGAUAUAGGAAGGAACACCAGUGGCGAAAGCGACCACCUGGACUAAUACUGACACUGAGGUGCGAAAGCGUGGGGAGCAAACAGGAUUAGAUACCCUGGUAGUCCACGCCGUAAACGAUGUCAACUAGCCGUUGGAAGCCUUUGAGCUUU